CGAGGCGUAGCGCAGCUGGGAGCGCGUCGCGUUCGGGACGCGAAGGUCGUGGGUUCAAAUCCCGUCGCCUCGACCA
This 76-nucleotide transfer RNA is filed under the name Clostridiales bacterium. RNAcentral describes it as "tRNA-Pro". It matches the Rfam family "tRNA". From Rfam's summary of the family: Transfer RNA (tRNA) molecules are approximately 80 nucleotides in length. Their secondary structure includes four short double-helical elements and three loops (D, anti-codon, and T loops). Lineage: Bacteria; Bacillati; Bacillota; Clostridia; Eubacteriales. RNAcentral also lists the same sequence under 1 other name. The record is from RNAcentral.